UUUGUUCGAUUAAUUUGUUUUUUGCAUUGUUUGUUUUUUGUUUGUUAUUUUUAACAUCCUUAACUUUGUUUAUUAUAUGUUAAUUUGAUAGACAAAACUACAAUAUAAAAGUUGUGUUUUUUUGUAAUUUGAUUUUAUUAUAUUGUUGGAUUAUAAGAAAUUCGUAUGUUGGAGAGUAACUGUGCAGGAGUGCAAUUUUGUUUUUGAAAGUUUAACGCAAAGCUUGUAAUUAAGCAGAAAUCUAGACAAAUUUUUUUUUUAUCGCCAAAUAAAGAUUUUUACAAAAAAAAAUUGUUUUGUGCUGAAGUUACAAUUGUUAUCAAUGAAAUAAAAUCAAUAUAAUGGACAAGAUCACACAAGCGUUGUUGCAGACUAAAGCAUCUAACCUUAAAAACGAUAUGACAAAGAAUGUCGCCUCGUUUUGGUCUGAAGAUGACGAUAAGGCUAAUGAAAUUAAACGGCAGAAAUAUUUAAAGGAAAUAGAGCAGCGUCAAGAUAACGAAAAACUUGAACGCGAAGAGCGCGCCCGAAUACGAAACUCCGAACGAGAAAAGUUUCGUUCGACUCUUCGCGAAAAAUACGAUUUGAAGGGUAGUACAGUAUCAAACAACUCAAAAGGUCCCUGCCAGCCCAGCAGCACAACUAUACCUAAAUUAAACGAAAAUGUUGACGAAAAUGAUAAAUCCAAAGAAUGCCUAAUUCAAUAGCGGCUGCUCUUUACUAAAAGUAUUACGCCAGUACACUCAAAAUCGCAGUUUCAGAUUCACUAAACAAUUUUUUAGAUAAAAAAUUUUAAAUAUGUUUUAUAAA
Long non-coding RNA from Hydra vulgaris (swiftwater hydra), 810 nucleotides. RefSeq lists it as uncharacterized. The record is from RefSeq and is a predicted model, not a curated record. NCBI's taxonomy places the organism in Eukaryota, Metazoa, Cnidaria, Hydrozoa, Anthoathecata, Hydridae.